RNAcentral lists this ribosomal RNA (227 nucleotides) under uncultured bacterium. RNAcentral describes it as "partial 16S ribosomal RNA". It matches the Rfam family "Bacterial small subunit ribosomal RNA", at positions 15 to 223 of the family's 1533-position model. The record is from RNAcentral.
GAUCCUGGCUCAGGAUGAACGCUGGCGGCGUGCCUAACACAUGCAAGUCGAACGGAGUCGACUUGGAAAAUCCUUCGGGAUUGGAAUUCUCGACUUAGUGGCGGACGGGUGAGUAACGCGUGAGCAAUCUGCCUUUGAGAGGGGGAUAACAGUCGGAAACGGCUGCUAAUACCGCAUAAAGCAUCAAAUUCGCAUGUUUUUGAUGCCAAAGGAGCAAUCCGCUUUUA